Molecule: non-coding RNA, 390 nt
Organism: Paramuricea clavata
Lineage: Eukaryota; Metazoa; Cnidaria; Anthozoa; Malacalcyonacea; Plexauridae
Source: the annotation of a GenBank genome assembly
AUGGAUAAAAGUUGAAGCAAAAACAACAAAACGUAUGACUUUAUUAGUUUAUUCAAGUUUUGUUUUCUGUUUUGUAGCUCACCGUAUGGCAACAAUGUUUAUGUCUCUCCGCUUGCUAAUCGAGGCUAAAUAGUCGCUGAAGAUCGCCAAAUAGGACUAAUUAGUCUUCCUUUUUGUGUUUUCAUAUUCUUCAGAAAACCUUGCCAAAUCAGCGUCGAAAACAUCAACAAAAUGUCGAGAAGUUGUCAUAUUGUAUAUUCAAAACAGAAACGGCAAAAUGGCGGGAGUUAGCGUGAUUCCCGCGCGAGACGUUCCCGCGUAAGAUAUGAUUUCAUAUUUCACUAUAGUGAAAUACAGAAAAUAUCAGUGGCGUAUUUUACGGUAUUUUAC